RNAcentral lists this ribosomal RNA (418 nucleotides) under uncultured microorganism. RNAcentral's name for it is "bacterial SSU rRNA". It matches the Rfam family "Bacterial small subunit ribosomal RNA", at positions 9 to 417 of the family's 1533-position model. The record is from RNAcentral.
GAGUUUGAUCCUGGCUCAGGACGAACGCUGGCGGCGUGCCUAAUACAUGCAAGUCGAGCGGAUCUUCAUUAGCUUGCUUUUGAAGAUCAGCGGCGGACGGGUGAGUAACACGUGGGCAACCUGCCUGUAAGACUGGGAUAACUUCGGGAAACCGGAGCUAAUACCGGAUGAUCCUUUUCCUCUCAUGAGGAAAAGCUGAAAGACGGUUUCGGCUGUCACUUACAGAUGGGCCCGCGGCGCAUUAGCUAGUUGGUGAGGUAACGGCUCACCAAGGCGACGAUGCGUAGCCGACCUGAGAGGUGAUCGGCCACACUGGGACUGAGACACGGCCCAGACUCCUACGGGAGGCAGCAGUAGGGAAUCGUUCCGCAAUGGACGAAAGUCUGACGGAGCAACGCCGCGUGAGCGAUGAAGGCCU